RNAcentral lists this ribosomal RNA (393 nucleotides) under uncultured bacterium. RNAcentral describes it as "partial 16S ribosomal RNA". It matches the Rfam family "Bacterial small subunit ribosomal RNA", at positions 338 to 728 of the family's 1533-position model. The record is from RNAcentral.
CCUACGGGAGGCAGCAGUGAGGAAUAUUGGUCAAUGGACUGAAGUCUGAACCAGCCAUGCCGCGUGCAGGAAGACGGCUCUAUGAGUUGUAAACUGCUUUUGUACAAGGGUAAACCUGAAUACGUGUAUUCAGCUGAAAGUACUGUACGAAUAAGGAUCGGCUAACUCCGUGCCAGCAGCCGCGGUAAUACGGAGGAUCCAAGCGUUAUCCGGAUUUAUUGGGUUUAAAGGGUGCGUAGGCGGAUUGAUAAGUUAGAGGUGAAAUGUCCGAGCUUAACUCGGGAACUGCCUCUAAUACUGGUGAUCGAGAGAGUGGGUGCGGUAGGCGGAAUGUAUGGGGGAGCGGUGAAAGGCUGAGAGAUCAUACAGAACAGCGAGUGCGAAGGCAGCUUA